Molecule: ribosomal RNA, 324 nt
Filed under: uncultured eukaryote
Lineage: Eukaryota
Description: partial 18S ribosomal RNA
Rfam family: Eukaryotic small subunit ribosomal RNA
Source: RNAcentral
CCCUUAGAUGUCCUGGGCUGCACGCGCGCUACACUGAUGUGUCCAGUAAGCACCUAACCUCUUCCGAAAGGAACGGGUAACCUUUGCAAAGCACAUCGUGAUGGGGAUAGAUUAUUGCAAUUAUUAGUCUUGAACGAGGAAUUCCUAGUAAGCACAAGUCAUCAGCUUGUGUUGAUUACGUCCCUGCCCUUUGUACACACCGCCCGUCGCUCCUACCGAUUGAAUGUUCCGGUGAGCUCUUCGGACUGCCCGGUCUGCAGUUUCUGCGUUCCGUGCGGAAAGUUGCGCAAACCUUAACAUUUAGAGGAAGGAGGAGUCGUAACA